ACAGUGGACGCGAGCAUCUGUGGCCAAGUUUUUAAGGGCGCACGGUGGAUGCCUUGGCACCAGGAACCGAUGAAGGACGUGGGAGGCCGCGAUAGGCCCCGGGGAGCUGUCAACCGAGCUGUGAUCCGGGGGUGUCCGAAUGGGGAAACCCGGCAGUCGUCAUGGGCUGUCACCCAUACCUGAACACAUAGGGUAUGUGGAGGGAACGCGGGGAAGUGAAACAUCUCAGUACCCGCAGGAAGAGAAAACAACCGUGAUUCCGGGAGUAGUGGCGAGCGAAACUGGAUGAGGCUAAACCGUAUGUGUGUGAUACCCGGCAGGGGUUGCGCAUGCGGGGUUGUGGGAGUG
RNAcentral lists this ribosomal RNA (348 nucleotides) under Streptomyces antioxidans. Its description in RNAcentral is "bacterial LSU rRNA". It matches the Rfam family "Bacterial large subunit ribosomal RNA", at positions 1 to 308 of the family's 2925-position model. The record is from RNAcentral. Lineage: Bacteria; Bacillati; Actinomycetota; Actinomycetes; Kitasatosporales; Streptomycetaceae.